This 300-nucleotide ribosomal RNA is filed under the name uncultured Octadecabacter sp. RNAcentral's name for it is "bacterial SSU rRNA". It matches the Rfam family "Bacterial small subunit ribosomal RNA", at positions 114 to 431 of the family's 1533-position model. Lineage: Bacteria; Pseudomonadati; Pseudomonadota; Alphaproteobacteria; Rhodobacterales; Roseobacteraceae. The record is from RNAcentral.
CGCGUGGGAAUAUGCCCUUCUCUAAGGAAUAGCCUCUGGAAACGGAGAGUAAUACCUUAUACGCCCUUUGGGGGAAAGAUUUAUCGGAGAAGGAUUAGCCCGCGUUAGAUUAGGUAGUUGGUGGGGUAAUGGCCUACCAAGCCUACGAUCUAUAGCUGGUUUGAGAGGAUGAUCAGCCACACUGGGACUGAGACACGGCCCAGACUCCUACGGGAGGCAGCAGUAGGGAAUCUUAGACAAUGGGGGCAACCCUGAUCUAGCCAUGCCGCGUGUGUGAUGAAGGCCCUAGGGUCGUAAAGC